This is a non-coding RNA of Labrus bergylta (ballan wrasse), 415 nucleotides long. The record is from RefSeq and is a predicted model, not a curated record. Lineage: Eukaryota; Metazoa; Chordata; Actinopteri; Labriformes; Labridae.
GGUUAGAGCUGUGACGUCAGCAGGGACUCGCUCGACAGGAGACGUUUGAAGCAGACGAACUGGACGUGCGGCUCAUUUCCCUGGAAUUUGUUUCUCAGAGGAACAACAUGGCUGAAACACACAGGAAGAAAUGGGUUUUCCCUCAAAGACCGGCGACUGAAGGAAACAGAGGCUCGGAGAGAGACGCUCACAGAAGUCUGGCGGUUCCCUUCAGAGGUCACAUCAGCGGUGGGAUGUGUCCGGGGAAGAAGGUGGUGCUAGUGGGCGUGGUCGCAUCCCGUCCUGACAGGUGAAAACAAUUUCCUGUUACAUUACGUUUUCUUUCCUCCUCCGCUCAGGAUCGAUCAUAUCGAUAAUCUUUCCUUUUUAUUUUUGUCUUUGCAUUCCUCCAAAUGAACUCAAACUAGGAUCAAUA